RNAcentral lists this ribosomal RNA (715 nucleotides) under uncultured bacterium. RNAcentral describes it as "bacterial SSU rRNA". It matches the Rfam family "Bacterial small subunit ribosomal RNA", at positions 8 to 718 of the family's 1533-position model. The record is from RNAcentral.
AGAGUUUGAUCAUGGCUCAGAUUGAACGCUGGCGGCAGGCCUAACACAUGCAAGUCGAGCGGAUGAGAGGAGCUUGCUCCUGGAUUCAGCGGCGGACGGGUGAGUAAUGCCUAGGAAUCUGCCUGAUAGUGGGGGACAACGUUUCGAAAGGAGCGCUAAUACCGCAUACGUCCUACGGGAGAAAGCAGGGGACCUUCGGGCCUUGCGCUAUCAGAUGAGCCUAGGUCGGAUUAGCUAGUUGGUGAGGUAAUGGCUCACCAAGGCGACGAUCCGUAACUGGUCUGAGAGGAUGAUCAGUCACACUGGAACUGAGACACGGUCCAGACUCCUACGGGAGGCAGCAGUGGGGAAUAUUGGACAAUGGGCGAAAGCCUGAUCCAGCCAUGCCGCGUGUGUGAAGAAGGUCUUCGGAUUGUAAAGCACUUUAAGUUGGGAGGAAGGGUUGUAGAUUAAUACUCUGCAAUUUUGACGUUACCGACAGAAUAAGCACCGGCUAACUCUGUGCCAGCAGCCGCGGUAAUACAGAGGGUGCAAGCGUUAAUCGGAAUUACUGGGCGUAAAGCGCGCGUAGGUGGUUUGUUAAGUUGGAUGUGAAAUCCCCGGGCUCAACCUGGGAACUGCAUCCAAAACUGGCAAGCUAGAGUAUGGUAGAGGGUGGUGGAAUUUCCUGUGUAGCGGUGAAAUGCGUAGAUAUAGGAAGGAACACCAGUGGCGA